Long non-coding RNA from Amphiprion ocellaris (clown anemonefish), 2773 nucleotides. RefSeq lists it as uncharacterized. Lineage: Eukaryota; Metazoa; Chordata; Actinopteri; Pomacentridae. The transcript is spliced from 2 exons. The record is from RefSeq and is a predicted model, not a curated record.
UUUCAAACUUGCUGACCCAUGCAAUCACUUGAAUUCACUCUGGAAGCCCUAAUAGCCUAUUAGAUGCAGGGAUCAUUCUGACUUUAAUGAACUGACACUAAUUUUAUGCAUCAUUACCUCUGAGCUCUUCUCCUACAUCACUUCAAACCGCAGCCACUUGUGGCUCUGUUGCACUCCACUCUUCUUCUUCUUCUUUAAAUCUUGGGGGGGCCCUCGGAGGUCCCCGGACCCCAGUUUGUGCACCACUGAGCUCAGGCAGCAGCUGAAGAAGCCCCCUUAUGAUAUGGAGGCAACGCGCGUUGACGUGUCGCGCUGCGCUUGCGACCACUCGUCUCGGUAUGCGUCUUGCGCACACACACGCACAGCGCUCUCAUGGGGACAUGCGGCCAGUAGACGCAGCCACGGACCUCUGUCAGACGUCGAACAGGACAAGUCCUCUCCAGGAAAGACGAUGGAAAAAGUCCAACAGCAGCGUCCAUCUGUGGCCGGCAACACGGACGCUGCCAUCCAGGCUCAGCCAGCCAUCUUGUUUUGAAGUAGAAUGACUGUAAAAAUGAGAUGUUGGAGGAAAUUUAGCUUCUUUCCCACAUGCACCUCAAUGUAAAUGUUCUUUACAAGGUUCAAACAUUGUUUUUCAGGGAUGAGAAUGACAAAUGGAAAAAAACUCUGAAAAUGUCUGCCGAAGCCCCGAAGCCCCCCCCCGAAAAUAGGCGGAUGUUGUCAUUAACAUAAACAGCGAGAGAUGUUUACAGAUAGCAAUGCCGAUUUCCGUUCUCACAGCUGUAUCUGAUUUUGCAAUGCGCGUUGCCGAAAGAUGUCGGCGGCGGGAUGGUCAUCACAAGCCUCGGCUCGCGACGCGUCGGCCGGCCGCUUGCCUACCCCCCUACAAUUUUCUCAACGGAUUUACACGAUUCACAAAAACUAUACUUUCGGCGGAAAAAAACUCGGAAUUCCGCGGAAAAUUCUCAUCCCUGGUUUUUAGAUCAACGGAGCCAUGCUAGCAGCUACAUAAAGCUGUUUUUCGACACAGCAACACUGUCAGCUCAAUGCUAACGUUAGCAUUAUGCAGCCUUCAAACAGGGAUGUUACUGUCGGCAUUUAGAAGCUAAUCUUUUAGCAGGCUAACAAGCAGGAAGCUCAAGAAAUGUAAAGGCAUAAUGAAAAAAUGAGGCCACAGAGUACUAACCUUUUCCCUACACAUUAUGAAAUUACAAAGACAACCUUUACAUGAAUAAAAUGAGAACAUACGUACUUCCAAGCCAGUGAAAAAUGAACUCCCACUGCCUUAGCAAACAUGUCACGUCAGCCUGUUAGCAUAUCAAAGUGUGCUAAUUAGACGGUAAUGUGAACACCUAAUGUAAAUAUCCGUAGUUUAGCAGGUGUUGCUCGAUGAAAUGACUUGCUAGUAAGACUUAUCCUCUGGGUAAUACACAUUUCUGUGCUACCAUGGCUAAAAAUAACUCAUACCUUCCUUUAACAGUUAGCUUUUAGUGUAUUUAGCAUGUUAGCAUUUCAGCUAGCGUCAUUUUAUGGGAACAACAGGACGUAUAGUGCGUUUUGUUGAUAAUAUUUACUUGUCACCCCUCUUUAAAGUAGUUUUAGAGGUUUUUGGCAGUUUGAGCUGUAAUUUUAGUUGCUUAUUUACGCUUUGAGAGGCAAUAUCGUGAGAAAGUCACAUAGAAACACAGACGAAGGUGUUUUCCACCGCUAGACGAACAUCAAACAAUACAUCCUCACCUGUGAUGCUGCAGGAAGUGAGAAAAAGGUUUAAUAAGCCCUGCAGAGCCGGUACACCGCAAAAAAUAUCUCAGAUGGAAAAGUGACGCCAGCAAAACAACCUUUUCACUCGUUUCCUACAGAAGAAAUUAGAAGGGUGUAGGUGCGUGUGGGAAAAAGGCAUCUUUUGAGUUCAAACUAUGGCUCAAUUGCAUGAUUUUUUGAUUUUGUGAAGACAUUUUGUAAUUAGGAAAAAACUGCCUGCCAAAAAGCAUGUUUUCUUGUUUCAUUACAAGCUGUACCCCACGUCCUCACCUGUAUUGUAUCAGCAGUGGCCUCAGCAUGAAGUUGUUUUCCUCCUCAUCAUUUUCCUGUCUUGGCUGGGCCACCAUUUUGGCUCCGACGGAGGCAGCGGAGCCACGGGGCGCCCAGCGGUUGCUCAGUAGUCAGUGUAGAUCCUGUGGGGCUGGCAGCAGCUACAUCUGGCUACUGGGUCUCUGCUGGCGGCCGUGUUAUUCAGGAAUCCUCACUGUACGCUUAUCAUAUGUGCAACUGCUCCGCUGAUGUACUUUGAGGAUCCUUUCAGACGGGUUUCUGAUGGGAUUAGCGUAUUAUUUCCUACUGGUGUUUUCUCUGUGUAGCUCACACCCUCUCUUUGUGAUCUUUUCUGCUUUUAAGUUUUCUAAGAAAUGUCUCAAAUGCUCACCCACUGCGAGGAGAAAAAGCCCCCCGUGGAGUUAAUCCGAGGGUGCACGGGUGCUUCAGAGGACAGCGAGAAUGUGUUUCUUAAAAUUAAAAUGAAAUUGAUGUACUGAGGAGCGCGGUGAGUUCUGGACCUGGCAUACAGUGUAGGAUUCUGUGUGUGUCAGUCUACAGCUACAUUGUCUGCUGGGUUUCAGGCCUGUACUCGAGACACGUCAGCGUUUUCUCAAUUUUUGUGAAAUGUCAACAUACGUGUAUGAAACAGCAUGGAUAAUUUGACAACUUUGUGUUUAUUGACUCAUCAUAAAACAUUCUUCAAACAAUAAAACAAUUUUAAAUGUCCGUUUCUGUACAA